Non-coding RNA from Zasmidium cellare ATCC 36951, 85 nucleotides. The record is from the annotation of a RefSeq genome assembly. NCBI's taxonomy places the organism in Eukaryota, Fungi, Ascomycota, Dothideomycetes, Mycosphaerellales, Mycosphaerellaceae.
GCCGACCUGGUCCAAUGGUAAGAUCCUCAGGCGACGGUCUUAUUACCAGUCCUGAGGGAUGCUGGUUCGAAUCCAGCGGUUGGAC